This 579-nucleotide ribosomal RNA is filed under the name uncultured Hafnia sp. Its description in RNAcentral is "bacterial SSU rRNA". It matches the Rfam family "Bacterial small subunit ribosomal RNA", at positions 102 to 677 of the family's 1533-position model. The record is from RNAcentral. Lineage: Bacteria; Pseudomonadati; Pseudomonadota; Gammaproteobacteria; Enterobacterales; Hafniaceae.
ACGGGUGAGUAAUGUCUGGGAAACUGCCUGAUGGAGGGGGAUAACUACUGGAAACGGUAGCUAAUACCGCAUGACGUCUUCGGACCAAAGUGGGGGACCUUCGGGCCUCACGCCAUCAGAUGUGCCCAGAUGGGAUUAGCUAGUAGGUGGGGUAAUGGCUCACCUAGGCAACGAUCUCUAGCUGGUCUGAGAGGAUGACCAGCCACACUGGAACUGAGACACGGUCCAGACUCCUACGGGAGGCAGCAGUGGGGAAUAUUGCACAAUGGGCGCAAGCCUGAUGCAGCCAUGCCGCGUGUAUGAAGAAGGCCUUCGGGUUGUAAAGUACUUUCAGCGAGGAGGAAGGCAUUGUGGUUAAUAACCACAGUGAUUGACGUUACUCGCAGAAGAAGCACCGGCUAACUCCGUGCCAGCAGCCGCGGUAAUACGGAGGGUGCAAGCGUUAAUCGGAAUUACUGGGCGUAAAGCGCACGCAGGCGGUUGAUUAAGUCAGAUGUGAAAUCCCCGAGCUUAACUUGGGAACUGCAUUUGAAACUGGUCAGCUAGAGUCUUGUAGAGGGGGGUAGAAUUCCAGGUGUA